GGCCAUAUGACAGUGAAAUACCGGUUCCUUUACGAUCACCAAAGUUAAGCAACUUCGAGCCUGGUCAGUAAUUAGAUAGGUGACCGCUUGGGAAUUCCAAGUGCUGUAA
Acanthosepion pharaonis is the source of this 109-nucleotide non-coding RNA. The record is from the annotation of a GenBank genome assembly. Lineage: Eukaryota; Metazoa; Mollusca; Cephalopoda; Sepiida; Sepiidae.